RNAcentral lists this ribosomal RNA (254 nucleotides) under uncultured bacterium. RNAcentral describes it as "partial 16S ribosomal RNA". It matches the Rfam family "Bacterial small subunit ribosomal RNA", at positions 524 to 777 of the family's 1533-position model. The record is from RNAcentral.
GACGAAGGGGGCUAGCGUUGUUCGGAAUUACUGGGCGUAAAGCGCGUGUAGGCGGUUAUCCAAGUCGGGUGUGAAAGCCUUGAGCUCAACUCCAGAACUGCCUUCGAUACUGGAAAUCUUGAGUCCGGAAGAGGUGAGUGGAACUCCUAGUGUAGAGGUGGAAUUCGUAGAUAUUAGGAAGAACACCAGUGGCGAAGGCGGCUCACUGGUCCGGUACUGACGCUGAGGUGCGAAAGCGUGGGGAGCAAACAGGG